AGAAUCCCUCUGUCGGAGCAUCCAUGCCUACGUCACUGCAUGCCAAGCAGCUGACGCCAAAGUUGGAACCUGGAGAACAGACACCUUCUGUCCCCUUACCUGUCCAGCCAACAGCCACUAUGAGACAUGCGCUACAACCUGCGAUUCCACCUGUGCCAGCUUGUCCACUGUGCCCCAGUGCACAAAGAAAUGUUUUGAAGGCUGCCAGUGUAAUGAGGGCUAUGCGUUUGAUGGGGACACAUGUGUGCCUUUGGACAAAUGUGGCUGUGUGCACAAGGGACUCUACUUCAAGGCAGGAGAGAGCCUCUUCUCGAGAAACUGUACAGAGAAAUGUACCUGCGCUGCCUCCAGCCAAUUCACCUGUGAGGAAACCAGCUGCCCU
This is a long non-coding RNA of Euleptes europaea (tarantolino), 382 nucleotides long. RefSeq lists it as uncharacterized. The record is from RefSeq and is a predicted model, not a curated record. The transcript is spliced from 3 exons. NCBI's taxonomy places the organism in Eukaryota, Metazoa, Chordata, Lepidosauria, Squamata, Sphaerodactylidae.